UACGUAGGUGGCAAGCGUUGUUCGGAAUUACUGGGCGUAAAGCGCGCGUAGGCGGCUCUUCAAGUCAGGCGUGAAAGCCCCGGGCUUAACUCGGGAACUGCGCUUGAUACUGUCGAGCUAGAGUGUGGAAGGGGCGAUUGGAAUUCCGUGUGUAGCGGUGAAAUGCGUAGAUAUACGGAGGAACACCGGUGGCGAAGGCGGCAUCCUGGACCGGUAUUGACGCUGAGGCGCGAAAGCCAGGGGAGCAAACGGG
Molecule: ribosomal RNA, 253 nt
Filed under: uncultured bacterium
Lineage: Bacteria
Description: partial 16S ribosomal RNA
Rfam family: Bacterial small subunit ribosomal RNA
Source: RNAcentral